GCGUCAAUAGUGCAACGGAUAGAGUACGCGCUCCCGGAAAGAGUGAGGUGCGGGUUCGAGUCCCUGCUGGCGCG
Parelaphostrongylus tenuis is the source of this 74-nucleotide non-coding RNA. Lineage: Eukaryota; Metazoa; Nematoda; Chromadorea; Rhabditida; Metastrongylidae. The record is from the annotation of a GenBank genome assembly.